RNAcentral lists this ribosomal RNA (468 nucleotides) under uncultured bacterium. RNAcentral's name for it is "partial 16S ribosomal RNA". It matches the Rfam family "Bacterial small subunit ribosomal RNA", at positions 28 to 507 of the family's 1533-position model. The record is from RNAcentral.
GACGAACGCUGGCGGCGUGCUUAACACAUGCAAGUCGAACGGAAAGGCCCUGCUUUUGUGGGGUGCUCGAGUGGCGAACGGGUGAGUAACACGUGAGUAACCUGCCCUUGACUUUGGGAUAACUUCAGGAAACUGGGGCUAAUACCGGAUAGGAGCUCCUGCUGCAUGGUGGGGGUUGGAAAGUUUCGGCGGUUUGGGAUGGACUCGCGGCUUAUCAGCUUGUUGGUGGGGUAGUGGCUUACCAAGGCUUUGACGGGUAGCCGGCCUGGGAGGGUGACCGGGCACAUUGGGACUGAGAUACGGCCCAGACUCCUACGGGAGGCAGCAGUGGGGAAUAUUGCACAAUGGGCGGAAGCCUGAUGCAGCAACGCCGCGUGCGGGAUGACGGCCUUCGGGUUGUAAACCGCUUUCGCCUGUGACGAAGCGUGAGUGACGGUAAUGGGUAAAGAAGCACCGGCUAACUACGUG